UGGUUCUCGCAUCGAUGAAGAACGCAGCGAAAUGCGAUAAGUAAUGUGAAUUGCAGAAUUCAGUGAAUCAUCGAAUCUUUGAACGCACAUUGCGCCCCUUGGUAUUCCGAGGGGCAUGCCUUUUCGAGCGUCAUUUCAACCCUCAAGCACCUGCUUGGUAUUGGGCCCGCGUCCACACGGUGGACGGACCUUAAAGCGAUUGGCGGCUUCGCGGAUGGCUUCGAGCGUAGUAAAACAAUUCUCGCUUGGGAGCUUCAGCGCUAGCUAUGGCCAUUUAACCAGAUUUAAAUCACAAAGGUUGACCUCGGAUAAGGUAGGGAUACCCGCUGA
RNAcentral lists this unclassified non-coding RNA (330 nucleotides) under uncultured fungus. RNAcentral's name for it is "partial contains 5.8S ribosomal RNA and internal transcribed spacer 2". The stretch from base 1 to 133 matches the Rfam family "5.8S ribosomal RNA", at positions 22 to 154 of the family's 154-position model. Lineage: Eukaryota; Fungi. The record is from RNAcentral.